UACGUAGGCAGCGAGCGUUGUUCGGAGUUACUGGGCGUAAAGGGUGUGUAGGCGGUUGUUUAAGUUUGGUGUGAAAUCUCCCGGCUCAACUGGGAGGGUGCGCCGAAUACUGAAUGACUAGAGUACGGGAGAGGAAAGUGGAAUUCCUGGUGUAGCGGUGAAAUGCGUAGAUAUCAGGAGAAACACCGGUGGUGUAGACGGCUUUCUGGACCAUUGCUGACGCUGAGACACGAAAGCGUGGGUAG
Molecule: ribosomal RNA, 245 nt
Filed under: uncultured bacterium
Lineage: Bacteria
Description: partial 16S ribosomal RNA
Rfam family: Bacterial small subunit ribosomal RNA
Source: RNAcentral